AAUGAGGAAUAAUGAAGCCAGCCUGGCUGCAAUUUAUAGAUACAUUGCCUGUAACUACUCCCAUUUAAGGUUUGCUUAUUAACCACCAGAAUGCAACUCCUGCAACCUCAAAAUUGUGGGCAGGAAAAAAGGUGCCAUUAAGAGUUCCAGAGAGUGGCUGGCAGGGGAGGCAUCACCUGAGCUGGUUGGCAUGAUGGUGGGAUUUAGAGUAAUGCAUGAUAUUCAAACAAAACCAGGAC
Molecule: long non-coding RNA, 239 nt
Organism: Mauremys reevesii (Reeves's turtle)
Lineage: Eukaryota; Metazoa; Chordata; Testudines; Geoemydidae
Exons: 3
Source: RefSeq, a predicted model, not a curated record